AGAGUUUGAUCCUGGCUCAGGAUGAACGCUAGCUACAGGCUUAACACAUGCAAGUCGAGGGGCAGCAUGUCGGUUGCUUGCAACCGAUGAUGGCGACCGGCGCACGGGUGAGUAACGCGUAUCCAACCUACCCUUGUCCAUCGGAUAACCCGUCGAAAGGCGGCCUAACACGAUAUGCGGUUCACAGCAGGCAUCUAACGUGAACGAAAUGUGAAGGAGAAGGAUGGGGAUGCGUCUGAUUAGCUUGUUGGCGGGGUAACGGCCCACCAAGGCAACGAUCAGUAGGGGUUCUGAGAGGAAGGUCCCCCACAUUGGAACUGAGACACGGUCCAAACUCCUACGGGAGGCAGCAGUGAGGAAUAUUGGUCAAUGGACGAGAGUCUGAACCAGCCAAGUAGCGUGCAGGAUGACGGCCCUAUGGGUUGUAAACUGCUUUUAUAGGGGGAUAAAGUGUGCCACGUGUGGCAUAUUGCAGGUACCCUAUGAAUAAGGACCGGCUAAUUCCGUGCCAGCAGCCGCGGUAAUACGGAAGGUCCGGGCGUUAUCCGGAUUUAUUGGGUUUAAAGGGAGCGUAGGCCGUUUGGUAAGCGUGUUGUGAAAUGUCGGGGCUCAACCUGGGCAUUGCAGCGCGAACUGCCAGACUUGAGUGCGCAGGAAGUAGGCGGAAUUCGUCGUGUAGCGGUGAAAUGCUUAGAUAUGACGAAGAACUCCGAUUGCGAAGGCAGCCUGCUGUAGCGCAACUGACGCUGAAGCUCGAAAGCGUGGGUAUCGAACAGGAUUAGAUACCCUGGUAGUCCACGCGGUAAACGAUGGAUGCUCGCUGUUUGCGUCUGACGUAAGCGGCCAAGCGAAAGC
Molecule: ribosomal RNA, 855 nt
Filed under: uncultured bacterium
Lineage: Bacteria
Description: bacterial SSU rRNA
Rfam family: Bacterial small subunit ribosomal RNA
Source: RNAcentral